Molecule: ribosomal RNA, 459 nt
Filed under: uncultured bacterium
Lineage: Bacteria
Description: partial 16S ribosomal RNA
Rfam family: Bacterial small subunit ribosomal RNA
Source: RNAcentral
CCUACGGGCGGCAGCAGUGAGGAAUAUUGGUCAAUGGGAGAGAUCCUGAACCAGCCAAGCCGCGUGAGGGAAGACGGCCCUAUGGGUUGUAAACCUCUUUUGUCGUAGAACAAAACCCGGGACGUGUCCCGGACUGCGUUUAUCCGAAGAAAACGCAUCGGCUAACUUCGUGCCAGCAGCCCCGGUAAUACGGGGGAUACGAGCGUUAUACGGAUUUAUUGGGUUUAAAGGGUGCGUAGCGGGUCCGUUAAGUCAGCGGUAAAAUUGCGGGGCUCAACCACGACGAGCCGUUGAAACUGGCAGACUUGAGUUGGCGAGAGGUACGCGGAAUGCGAGGUGUAGCGGUGAAAUGCAUAGGUAUAGCGAAGAACUCCGAUUGCGAAGGCAGCGGACCGGCGCCAGACUGACGCUGAGGCACGAAAGCAUGGGGAUCGAACAGGAUUAGAUACCCGGGUAGUC